AAUCCAUACCAUAGGGACGAUAGUUACUUUUUAUCUUUGACUUUAAAUUAUUGUUAUUCCCUGUGUCAAAUAUCGAAUCCCCGAAGAAAAACACGGCCGGUAUGGUUUUGUUUUCUGGCUUAGGUGGUAAUGGGGCAGGUGGGCUAGGUUUUGGUUUUGGCGAUGGAGCAGGUGGGCUAGGUUUUGGUGACGGGGCAGGUGGUGGUACAGGUUUCGGAACUGGACUAGGUGGUUUAGGUGGUGGCGGUGAUGGGCCUGGCUUUGGUGAUGGAGCAGGUGCUGGUGGUGGCUUUGGUUGCGGCUUUGGUGGUUGAGGUGGGCAUGGAGACGGGGCAGGUGCUGGUGGUGGCUUUGGCUGAGGCUUAGGUGGUUUGGUUGCGGCUUAGGUGGUGGGCAUUGAGAUGGACCAGGGGCUGGUGGUGGUUUUGGUUGAGGCUUAGGUGGUAUUGGUGGACAUGCCGAUGGACCAGGCGCUGGUGGUGGCUUUGGUUGCGGCUUAGGUGGUAUUGGUGGGCGUGGAGAUGGGCCAGAUGGUGGACCAGGAUUUGGUGAUGGGCCUGGUGGUGGGCCAGGUUCUGGUGGUUCCAUUGGCCAUGGAUACGGCCAAGGCAUUGAUGGCCAAGGUAUUGAUGGCCACGGCCAGAGCCGUCGGUGGACUACUUGGGCAUGGGACGUUGUCACAAAGAAGAUACAAAAGGAUAUGAGAAAGACAACAAAACGAAAUAGUAUCGAACAAGAAUGGACCAUAGAAGAUUGCUUCAUGCUUUUACUACAAGUAGUAGUAAGACAACUUCCAUUCAAGCGAUUUCAACCGUCAUGUCAAUAUGAAUAUCAAUCUGCGUGUGCCUAUGUAUAUAUAUUCAUUACGUAAACUAGGGCAUGCAAUUUAUGUGGCCGUGUUGGAGAUGCUUGUGUGACACGGCUUCUCAUCACACAUUUUGAGACCUACAUUAUAUUCCAUUUCUAGUCGGAACUUAACUCUCUUAAGUAUCUUUCGUGACUUCUCGGAACCUAACUCUCGCUUAAGUAUCUUCAGUAUCUAGAGAUUAAACACAAAAGAUAUCAUCAAUUAAUUUGAUUUUUGGAGUUAGGGUUAUGGCAAUGUAAUAUAGUUUCCCACACAAGACACAACUUAAAAUCAAUAAUGUAUAUGUGACUGUGUCUUAGGGCGAAAAGUUGGGUUGGCCAUUUCAAAGAUUGAUGGGCUUUUAAUAUGAUUUUAAGUUUUUAACCUUUAGUUAUAAAUGGAGUUCGCCCUAACCUCCCAGACACGAGUUUCGAGGUUCAGCCUAGAUCCAUGGCCUCUGGCGCCGGCGACGCGUUUUCUCGCCGGCUCUGGACAUCUGCGUCGAGUAUACUUUUCUCCGUCACUCUCUACUUCAUGUUUCAUUGUGCUAUCUGCUUGUUACCGGUUCGAUUUCUUUGGCUAUUUGGAGGAAGGAGGUCCCGACAGACGCUACGACGAAGACGAGAGCUUCGAAUCUUCGCCGUGCUGCUACGUGCGGUCCUAUCCCUUCGUUUGGUCCUUCUUCCAGCGAUGAGUCGAGAGGAUUCUCUCGCCGCCGCAAAGCUCUGGUCUUCGGGUUUAUAUCCUGUCGUACUUCUCUCUGGCGACUUUGCCCAAGCCUUUCAACUGCGUAUGGAGCAUCGUUCUCAACUGAUGAACUCAACCUCUUCAUCUUCGGAGAGGUGCGAGUCCCACCAACCACCGUGUGCUGCUCCUCCUCAUCUAAAGGGCGCCAGAUCUUACAGUAUCACGAGUCCAGAUCCGAAUCUACUCGGUGAAACUCCAAUCUCUCCAUCUUGUAAAGUGAUGCUCUAUUCUCCUCCGGGUUGUCUACGAGACGGUGGUAGUUUUCCUCUCCGGCGAAGCUCUUCCGGUGGCCACUCUGUCGGCGCCGAAGAACAUCUUAGAUCCAAAGCUUCCCGGCUCGUACGGACAACGUUCACUGAGCUGAUGUCUCUUAAUGAUUGGGCAUGGCCCAUUUGUUUGAUGAAGCUAGUCAGCCUGCAAAGGCCCAGUCCCAUAAAAGAAAAUUCGACCCAAAUUUCAGUGGCUUUCCAUGCUUGGGUCAGUGUUUCAAAGAUUUCCGGUGGGAUCUCUCCUUGCGAUAUAUUUUCAUAUAUGUCCAAUGGGAUGAAUUUACUGGUGAAGUCACCAGUCUCGGUUCUAUUUCAAUCAACCUCUUCUGAGGAUAAGGUUUCACCAUCAUGCCCUCUUCCUAUGGAUAGAGGUGUCUCCUCGGACUCGUUUCCGAGAGUCUGUUUCAGUUCUCUCAUCGGUUUGUUAUCUUGUGGAGCGGUCUCUACGGGACCUGAAGAUGCAAUCGAAACUACCUUGGUAGUUUUUGUAGAUGAGGUCAGGACUUCAACGUCACUUUAUGUGACUAUAUUCUAGUCGUCAGACUUUGUUGUGAAGGUUCCUUCGACGCAUUCAAGCAUCGUCUUGAAUUCGCUGUCAUCUUCGGUUGAAGAUCUAUCUUGCUUAGCUUAUAUAUAUGUUGUAGUUUAUGCUUAUUGCUAAAGAGGAUGGAUAAUUCUCUCUUUCUAUUGUAGUGAAGAAGUUUGAGUAUGAAUGAAAGUAAGUUUGUGUUCAAAAAAAAAAACCUUUAGUUAUAAUUCUAUUUCAGCCAAUCAAUCUUAUCUCUUUGUAAUUCGAUUAAGUGAAACAAGAAGGAUAAUGGAUUCUGUUUAUUGAAUUGAAUCAUCACAUAAACAAAAAGCGUAGGUCGUUAGAAGAAAUUCAACAGCAUUUUUACAUUUGAUUUAUUUAAUUAGGCGCAGCUUCUAUAUUUUCAAAGAGGAAAAAGUUUCAAUGAUAUUUUUUUAAUUGCCCUAUAAAUUAAGCACUCAUCUUUUUUUAAUUCCUUGUUCCAUGUUAAUAUUAUACGUAUCAUACCAUAGUCAGGAACUGAAACAUUAUACCAACUAAUGUUCCAAAAAAUACAUUAAACCAAAUGAGUUACAGCUUUUAUUUAGCCAAAUCAUAUCAUCAACGGAGACAUCUUAAAUCUACAUUUAUUUGUCAUAAAAAGGGCUCAUGUCAGUCUCUACAAACUUUUUGGUUAAAAUUCUAUAAGCUCUUUCCGUUGGAUGGUAACUGUCCCAAAACAUAUAAGAAGAUACAUUGCUGCAAAGAAGUGAUGUAAAUUGGUUGCAAAGCGGGCCUAAUUCGACCAUCCCUGUCCCGCAACAUCCUCUAUCAAUCUCAUCAAAUCCUGCAAAAUUCCCCACCAAAAAUGAGAAAAAUAAUAAUAAUCUUAAGCUCGUUCACACACAACAGUAGUUACCAUAUUCUUUGGGGUUUUGGAUCAUAUGAGCGAAGAGAGAGUAGAUAUCAAUAUACACCAAAGUGGCGUUUUUCAAGGUCUCGGCUACUGAAUGCAAACUUCUGGAGAGUUUGGUAUUGAAAAGCUGAGCUGCAACGUUUAUUUCAUCAAAACACUUUCUCUUAAGUCCCCCUCUUGCGGUUCUUUGUAUCGGUAUACACCCGAUUGGCGAAACACCAAUGAAUCCUAUCUUUCUUGCUCCAGAUUCAUAUAGUUGCUGCCAAAUUUUGAUCACUCUAUGUUCAUCAGGUUUUACUUUAUCUGGCUCAUAUAAUUUUCAAAUUUCAACAUACCAUAGCGAAACUUGAAGCAGAGCUAGCCAUAUAAGAGGUAUAUGCAUCGAUGUCAUAUAAUAAUUCUUCUGCAUGUGUACCAUAGUAUGUGUUAGCUAGAUCAUCGCUACCCGCAAUCACAAUGGCUAGACUUUUGGAUAUUAUGUGCUCAGCUUUCUCUUUUCCCACAAAGCCUUUUACUUUCUCUAUAUAUUCUUGAAAAUAUGUCAACUGGUUUGACAUCGGUAUUGCGCUCUUAGGUAUAACAUUGGUAACACAUGAAAACAAAAAUGUUAUCAAAUGAAAUUAGGUUUUAAAAUUAAUUAAUUAAGGAGAGGUAAUUCGAAAGGCGAAGGAUAGUCCGAAGUUAUUACUACAACGAUAGGUGUCAAAGGAUCGAAGCCAGAACCACCCGAAGCAAAUGAUACACCAGUGACGAGAUCUUCAUGGGUUAGCCCUGGCUUCAAGUAUGGCGGUAAAGUUGGUUUUACUCCUAAAAAUUCCGCUGUGAAAGUAAAGACCAAAAAGAUCAAUUUUAGUAAGAAUGUUUCCACUGAAAAUACAAAAAAAUAUUGAUUUUUUAGCUGACGCGAUGCCAUCUUUUCUUGAUAAUCCAGGUAUCCGGACCUAAGUCCGACUAUCCCACCGCGUCCAACCGGAACUGGAGGGUUCUGGCGGCCAAACGGAAACCAUGUUAAAUCCGCUGUGGCCGGGCCUCGAACUCGUAUAGGAACCUCGGCUGAGGUGCCCGCCAUCACGAGUUCGAGGCCCGGCCACGCGAUGCCAUCUUACGUAGGUUUUUUUUUGAGAAUGAUCUUACGUAGUUAUGAUGAAAAUAUUUUACGUAUAAGUUUAUGUAUUAAUAAUUUCUAUUUUUAGACCAAUAAAACCAAUCCAAAAUUUUAAGAUAUGAAAUGGAACAAAGUUAGUGAAAAAGGCAAAUAGGGUCGUCGUUACUGUGCGAGUAACAAUCAUUAGAUAUGAUCUUCUUUGUUUACUAAGCUUCUUUGUUAAAUAUUUUUCUAUGGAUUUUUUUCAACUUUAUUUUGUUGCAUAUUUUUCAAACUUUUGGGUGAAAAUCCAUAUAUUGUAAAAAAAAAAAGUUAUUUAUGAUUAAUUUGAAAAAAAAAUCUUAAGUAAAAAAAUGUACUAAAAGUAAAGGCAAAGUCACCUAUAAAAUCAGCAGGGAUCUUGCCAUUGCAAAAUCUACCGGUGGGAAGUCCGUGUGGAAAAUUCAUGCCAUAGGGGGGAAAAAGCAGGAAUCUUGCCAUUGCAAAAUCUACCGGUGGGAAGUCCAUGUGGAAAAUUCAUGCCAUAGGGGGGAAAAUUAGCUUUGACUAAUGUUGAAAUGUAAUCGUUAUUUCCUGUGUCUACGAUUGAAUCACCAAAUGCAAAGAUCGCAGGAAACGUCGUGUUACGUGUCCUAGGGGGCGCUGGUGUCGGAGCUGGCCCUGGACUUGGACUUGGACAUGGACAUGGCUUUGGCUCUGGAGCCGGGGUUAGCCCUGGACUUGAAGAUGGCUUCGGCUUUGGACUCGGUUGUGGAACCGGGGCUGGCCUUGGACUCGGCUCUGGAACUUGCUCUAAGCGUCUAGCUGAGGCAACGAAGAAGAUAAAAAAGAGUGGGAGGAACAAAACACAUCGAAAUAGUUUGGAACAAGAAGGCGAAACAACAUUAUAUUUCAUCAUAUUGGUUAUAUGUUCUUACACGUCUGAUAAGGAAAAAAAAAGAACUUGUUACGAAGCUCCGGAAUAUAAAGGAGUGUAAGACAAAAAAAAUAGUAUAAGUGUCUCUAUUCAGAUAAAAAUAAAUUGCGGACACAAGCAUGCGGUUUUGAUGGUUACAAGAAGAAGAAACUUGUCUUCUAUGGCUUCUUCUCAUUCAUUCACACAUUCCGAACUUUCCUGAUAUUCCGUAAUUCAUCACUAGUCUCACUCUCGUUUUGCAUUAUUUUAAAUACACUACUUCAACACUGUUUCUAUCCAAAAGAAAGUAAGAAAAUACAACAUGCUUCCAUUUACUAUUUAGAGAAAAUUAAUUGAAUGUAUAAGAAAAGUUGGUUUAUUACUAUAGUGUUAAACAUCUUUUAAAAAUUACUAAAAUGUUUAGACACCCAUAGUAAAUGACUGUAAGGACCUUUGGUUAGUUUUUUUUUAAUUAAAAUUAUUUUUAAACAUUAAAUCCACAUCACUAAUUGAAAUUAUACAUCAGCACAAUAGAAACCAAACCGUCUCUUCUCCAUCUAACUACAUCGAACUUUAAAAAAAAACUAACUAAGAACAUUGUCUUUGUCGUCUCGAAGAAGGAACCGCGAGAUACUCAUCGACAUUGUCUGUGUUUACUUCCUCUUCGUCGAAUUAACUCUCUGUCGUGAUACUCUGUUUUCUCUGUUAUCAUUGUGCAUCGUUUGUACGAAAUCGUCUUCGCCGCAUUCUUAUCUACGAGUUCGUCUUUUCCGGUAGGAUAUCGCAACGUUAUAUAUUGUGUUUUGGUUGAGUUUGUGGGUCAGUUAUGUAUUAUAUUUCACCUGAUUUAUAUUUUGUUGCGACUGAGAUAGGGUUAUGUUGCGGCUGUGAUAUGGUUUUGUUGCGUCUGAGUUAGGGUUUUGUUGCAACUGAGUUAGGGUUAUGUUAUGGCUGAGUUAUCAUUGUGUCAUGAAUAAGUUAAUGUUAAGAUGGCUGAGUUACUUUUAUGUUGUGGCUGAGUUACUAUUUUGUUGUGACUGGGUUAUUCAAACAUUUUGUGGCUGGGUUAUCACUGUGUCGUGAAUAAGUUAAUGUUAUGUUGUGGCUGAGUUAUUGUUAAGUACGGAUGUGUUAUUGUUUUCUUGUGGCUGAUUUAUUGUUGAGUUAUAUGAUCAGAUGGAUGCUGCUGAAGUUAAAUCAGAGGAUUACCCUCCAAGACUUUACCCUGAAGGGUCUUCUAACCUAGAAGGUAAAGAUAUUAAUCACAAUUUCCAUCCAGGACAUUUCCCCCACGUUAGAGAAACAAUAGGACUUGAUGUGUGGGAAGAAUUGGUGAACUCUCCCAUUGGAGUAGUUGCUAGGCUAGCUGGACGCGAAAGCAUGUGGUCUGGUAGGACCGUGCACUAUCUACUGUGUAGACAGCUGCGAGUUCUAAAGAAGGAGAUAUGGUGUCUCGUGGCUGAUGAGGCCAUCAGGUUUAGCUUGCUCGAGUUUGGUGAGAUCACUGGGCUAAACACAGGUCCAUUGCUAACAGAAAAAUUUGAUCCUGAUCAAUACAACGCGUUUUGGGGGGAGUUGAAGGUGCCGCUUGGGAUGGAACCCAAGUUAGAUGAACUGAAGGCAGCAUUAGAGUUAUGUCUGCUUUGGAGUUUUGAAAAGCGUAAGUGGUUGGGGCUGCUACUUCUUCAAGCCAUGGGAGUCUAUUGUUUGCAUCACAAUUCAAAGAUACCCUUUCAAAGUGCAAUAAGGGUAUUCGACGAUGAAGCCAUGAGGUCGUAUCCAUGGGGUCGGACUGCAUACGAAGUUCUGAUUGACUCUAUUAAAACGUUGGCUCCAGAAGGAGGUUUUUACACAAUAAGCGACAUGAAGGACGCGUUAUUGAUUUGGGCAUAUGAAUCCGUCGCCUGCUUCGGUGAGAGUUUUGGGAGAGUGAUCAAUAACGAAGACGUUCCGCUUUUGCGAUGGGGUGGAAAGCGUACACGUGCAAGUUUUGAUAAAUUGUUGUCUGCCGAAAUCAAAGAGCAUGGCGAGGUAAGGUUUGGUGGCUGAGUUAUGAGUUACUUAAUGGCUGAGUUAUUAUAUUUGAUGGCUGAGUUAUUGUUAUUUAAUGGCUUAGUUAUUAUAUUUGAUGGCUGAGUUAUGAGUUACUUAAUGGCUGAGUUAUGUGUUAUUUGGUGGCUGAAUUAUUUUAGUUGAUGGCUGAGUUUUGUGUUUGUUUGGAGGCUGAGUUUUGUUAUAACCUUGUGUUGCAGGUGCGUGUGAGGAGAAUGGUUUUGAAGGACUCAAUUGUUGGUGUUGGGGCCGAAAACGGUUACGACGAAGUUAACGUCCAAAUCCCCGAAGAAGAAAAAUGUAGAAAAGUUCUUCGACAAAUACUUUUUCGAAAUAGAUUCUUCUUUACGAAAAGCUUUGAGUUUACUUUUUAGGGUUUAGGGUUUAGUGUUGAUAGUUUAGGGUUUAGUGUUGAUGGUUUAGGGUUUAGAGUUGAAGUUUAGGGAAACGCGAGUCAUCGGACAAGAGCCCGAAAAGGAUCGUUAUGCAGCGACAAAACACGUGCUCCGCUCGGUCGCUACGUAGCGACCGAGUUCGAGCCAAGGCUCAGUCGCUACGUAGGGACCGAUCGUCCAUUCCGCUCGGUCGCUACGUAGCGACCGAGCUCGAACCGAAGAUCGGUUGCUACGUAGUGAUCGAGCGCUCGGUCGCUACGUAGCGACCGAGCUCUUCCCGAAGAUCGGUUGCUACGUAGUGAUCGAGCGCUCGGUCGCUACGUAGCGACCGAGCUCUUCCGCACAUAGUCCAUGCGUUCUCGUCUACCCUUCGAUGCUAUCUCCCGAAGACCGUAGCGAACCCAUUUCACGAUUCCCCGCCAUUCUAAGUUAUCGAUCAAACUUUACCGUAAAAACCGCGGAAAGUUCGUUCUUUAUCGAAAGAAGCCGUAGUAAACGCUUCGAGUCGGAAGACGGCCCAAAGGGACCUAAGACAUGACUCGAGGCCCAACUUACGAUUUCUUAACCAACAGCCCGUAAGCCGCAUGACGGUUUACGCUUGGUUCGCAAGGAAAGAUAAAUGUCAAGUUUUCGCGGAUAAAUACAAAAUUUUGAAGAUAAUUACGAAGAUCGGAAAAAAUGGAAUAACUCCAUUUUUAUCCUAUGGCGGCUUAAGGGCAGAAGGGGAAAAGCAUAAACCGACCUUGGAGCCAGUAUAUAAGGAGUCCUUGGCGAGAGGCAUGGGAGAGGACUUUACACAGCAAACUUAGCACUUAGAGCGAUUUUAGGCAAUUUUCCGUUUUUGUUAUUCGAGCUGUGACUCAAUUAGGUUUUUGCCGUCUUAGGGUUUUAGAACUAGGAAUCUCGCCGACAGCUCUCGUAGCCCAGGCACUUACCUUGUUGUAAACGCUCAAACGCAGAUUCAGAAUAAGAACUAUCUUGCUCUCUUUUUUUAUUUCUUAUUUUAUUACUGUUCUCGUUUCGUGUUCUGAUUGCUUGGCGUGUGGUAUUAGCAGAUAUCCGGGACCUCUGGGAAAUUAGGGUUUUCCUAGUUUUCUUAUUUAAACGGAAAUCGACAGUGCAAAUUUUGGUUCCCAUAGUUUGGCGCCAGAAGGAGGGGAGGUAUGGAUCAAUCUAACUCUCAACCACAUCACCCUCAACCAGACAUGUUAACUGAAGGCACGGAUAACAUGCAGAUUCCUCUUAACGGAGGCAGCGGCACUGAUCUCCACACUCCCGCAGUGGAUGUAUCCGCGGCCAACGCACCAGCCAACGCCGCGGCGAUCGAGGAGUUUAAAAAGAUGUUCGCCACCUACGAAAAAAGGUCGGAAGAACAGGAUAAGCUCGUGAGAACCUUGACCAAACAAGUUGAAACUUUAAUGGCAAGGACUCGAGCAAUCCGCCCCCGCGGGACAACUAAAGUCCGCGGGAAAAGACUCGACUUUGCAACCCCACUCAACAGGCCUGGAGCCGCGCAUGAACGACCUUCGGGUCAAAACCCUAGCGAGAAAUCUCCCGUCGAAAAGAGAAACUCCAAAAGCCCUCCGCCUCCCGCGAAGGUUUCAGAGGACAACAGAGUCGAGCAAGUCGACCUGGAUCGUAGCGAUGUCUCCAACAAUACUGAUGAGGACGUCGACAGACAUCCAAGGAGGACCAGAAGACCAGAAGCCGAUUCACUCGGGAAAGCUCUCCGUUCGACAAACCAAUGACAGAAGAGGAGGAAAUCCUCUAUUGGAACGAACAAGAAGAGCUGGCUGAAAAACAAACCGAGCUCACUUGCAGUAAACGCCGACAAGCGCGGAAAUCUGCUGACAAACGUCAGAUAUACGCGAUCUUCGCGACUAUAUCACCAAGACUGCGGCAGAAUUAAGAGCCGUAAAAUCCCAAAUUCAUCACGCUACUAGCGCGGCUCCCGAGAUCGACAGGCUGCUGGAAGGGGCUCGGAAGACCCCUUUCACCGCUCGCACCUCAGAUACGAGGGUAUCCGAUCCAGGAAAAAUUAAAGUACCGAAGUAUGAUGGUACGACCGAUCCAAGAGCGCACCUUCAGGCUUUCCACAUCACGAUGGGAAGAGCGAGGCUGAAGGACGGCGAGAGAGACGCCGGCUACUGCCGCCUGUUCGUCGAGAAUCUAGAAGGAGCAGCCCUCGAAUGGUUUGCGCGCCUUAAGCGAAACUCUAUCGGGAGUUUCCGACAGCUCGCAUCGGAAUUUCUAAAGCAAUACUCUAUGUUCAUAGAUAGAGAAACUUCCGAUGUCGAUCUCUGGAGUCUGUCCCAGAUGGAAGAGGAACCCCUCCGCGAGUUAGUCAGCCGAUUCAAGUUGGUAAUGUCCAGGGUCAGCGGGAUAAGCAACAAGGUGGCCAUCGAUGCGCUCAGAAAGGCGCUCUGGUACAAGUCGAAAUUCAGAAAAUGGAUAUCACUCGAAAAACCGCGGACGAUCCAAGACGCCCUCCACAAGGCGACGGACUACAUCAUGAUCGAGGAAGAAACGAAAAUCUUAUCGCAAAAACAUAAUUCGGCGAGAUCGUCCUCAAAAGAUGUAGACCCAAAAACGAGGAAGAAGAACCCUCGUAACAACAAGUAUGUCCAUCACGAGGGGGAAGAACUCCAAGGAGCGCACAAUUACGCGAUCGGCUCAGACCAGGGCCGAACCACGGGUAAUACAUGGACUCGCAAUCAAGGAUAUGAUGAAAACACCUUUUGCGAGUUCCACCAGUCCCGAGGACACUCCACGACAAACUGCAAGAUCUUGGGAGCAAGGCUGGCCGUGAAGCUACUAGCCGGAGAACUCUCGGAAGUGACCAGCAUGAAAGAUCUCAUCCUCGAGACCGAUCGCCCCCCGAAACCGGACAGAAAUCUUCCCACGGAGAGAUCCCCAAAAAAACCAAUCUGGGGAUAAACGCGGCAGGAGGCCAGACGACAAAGGGAACGAUAACAAUCGUCGUUGAGUCAACCUGAUCAUCGGAGGAUCGCAAUUCUGCAACGAUACGGUUUAGGCCAUAAAGGCUUACCAGCGGAAGGCGGAGUCAAGCGAAAACUGGCCUACAUGGUCUCCUACCCGAGAUGAUCAGAACUGCUCAAUCACCUUCACAACGGAGGAAGCCGGCGGGAUCGAUCAGCCUCACUGCGAUCCGCUCGUCAUAGACCUCGUCAUACGAGAUCUGGAUGUCGGAAGAGUACUCAUUGACACGGGAAGCACGGUCAAUGUAAUCUUCUGCGACACUCUCAAUCGGAUGAGCAUCAAACUCGGAGAAGUAACUCCAACUCUGAAACCGCUCACAGGCUUUUCGGGCGAAGUAUCGAUGACCCUUGGAUCGAUUCAGCUACAAGUCAUGGCCAAGGAGAUCACAAAAAUCGUCGAGUUCGCGGUAGUCGAUCAUCCUGCCAUCUACAGCGUGAUCAUGGGAACCCCAUGGCUCAACGCUAUGCAAGCCGUUCCAUCGACGUACCACCUGGGCGUCAAAUUCCCGACCACAAAAGGAGUCGCAGCUAUCUGGGGAUGCCAGAAACAGUCGCGACUGUGCUUCCUCGUGGAACACAAGUUAAGACAGAUGACGACCUCUGCAACGGCAAAUCGUAAACGCACGAAGAUUGAUAAAUCUUCGACCAACAAUGUUCCAAGAAAAGACGAUUUAACAACGUCUGCUGACACAGGCGCUUCGGGUGUCAAAACUCAACUUGAAUCCGAAUCCGACACUACAACUCAACCGGAACAUCCGGAAGAGAACACUGACCCAGCCACGAUCAUCACGAUCAAGCCGGUCAGCACGGCAACAACCGCCGAGUGAAAACACUCGUGGCAUAAAACAGAACUACGAGAUGGCUUGAUCCUCGAAAGGGGUACGUAGGCAGCUCGUCGAAAGACGAGUUCAGCUAUCCCCCUCUCUGAAAAAGGGGGGGGGGGAGUGGGUGCGUAUACUCGUAUACUCCCACAUAGGAAAAGAUGCGUGAUUGUAAUCAAAUUCUAUAGAGAUUUCGAAAAUUUUUACGAUCAAUAUGCGUCGCUCUUUUUAAGAAAAAAUCGCAAAACAAUCUCACUUCAGCACCAAAAAUAUACGUAUAAGUCUUCGAAAUAACUGCGAGACGUCGCCAAGUUAAAAAUCGAGAUGAUACGAACAAAUUGUCCGAACGCGACCACUACAAAUCUUACACUCCGUUCGUCGAUUGGCCCCGAUGAACACAUCAGCCGUCUUAAACAAACGCAACUUGAUCACUCUUUUGAUCUUCAAACGUCCAACACACGGAUGAAAGCGCGCUACAAAAAAAAUCCGAAAUUUUAGUCUAGCACUUCCAGUUGGCUUAAAAAUUGUCUCUGGAAAGAUGCUCGAUUCAUACCAUACAAGUCGUAUAAGCCGAGAACCUAUCGCGGACUUUAAAUCGGUACGAAUCAGGUAGAAAUCGCAACAGGAAAACCGAGAGCCGGCUAGUCACCGCACAAACCUUAAAACCGAGAGUAAACCUAGGUCUUGCCCUAAACCCAUCGCAUUGGUCUCAGACAUCUCAAAGACAUGAUAUCUAAACGAUACGAGAUCCUAAAACAUGUCUCUUCGUUCAUAUCUCAACGUUCCCGAAAGAUCGUAAAUAAUUUUUACGAAAACUCACGUCUCGAACAAACUAACAGAUUGAACGCCUCAACGAAGAUAAAUAUUAGACGACAACUCAUGUUUACUUCAAACCCACUCUAAACAAAGUAACUCAAACAAACAUCCAUUAUAUAAACCGCAUAGUGGUAGGGGUUCAAAGCCACCAACGGUCAGUCCCGACAAAAACGGCCAAAAUAUGCCCAUACAAAGUUCGAAGGCCACACUCGGCCAGACAUAUAUGAACUAGAUAAAGGGAAAAACUCCUUCCCGUCAAAACGCUCACAGAUCAAAGUUAAAAUUCCCGGACAAGGAAGCUCCGAAUGCAUCCGCGGGAAAGUUCACUUCCUCAUCGUCACCGGCAAAAUCAGUUGUAGCUUCUACGGUAUCAGGGGAAACCGGGAUGGGAUCCCUGAAUCUUCCCAUCGAUCGGAGGGAUGGUCGCCUCAGCGUGAGCAUGAUCCUUCAUGCCACCCUUCAUUAACUCCAUCUCCCUCUCGAAAACGUAGUCAUCUUCCUGCGUCUUCCAAAGGUUCCCGACGGAGCCGCGACACUCACGGAAGUCGCCCAGCGAGUUGAAAGCGCCCUUAAGAUUCCCGUACUCAACCUGGAAUUGAGAAGCGCGAGUCUUCAUCACCUCGACGAUUUCCCUCUUGCCCUUCCGUUCCGCCCUACGAACAGCCCUGGCAUGAUCACGAGCGAGUUGAGCGUCUCGCGCCUGCAUCUCGUCUCGCAUGCGAGCAAGAUCCUUUUCCGCCUUCUCCGCUUUAAAGCGAUAGAUCAUGGCCUCUCUAUGGCUCGCCUCAAUGGCCGAUCCAAGCAAGUUCAAACCCUAUAAAACCGAUUGACACGUUAUAAGCAAAAAAUAAUAUUAACGAUCGUCAAAAUUCUUAAAGUUUAUACCCCGUUAAUGAUACGAGAUCCUUCCGCGACAACUUUCGGCCUCUCUGACUCGCUCAUGGCCUGAGGAGCGUCAAAGCCCAACGGAAGACCAGCGAAUAAAUCAUCGAAGUCCGGAAUAGGGACCUCGCUCGUACCGCUUCCAUCGCCGAAAGCAAGGUUCGGAUCCCAUCCUGGAAGCAUGCAAUCGUCCACCGAAAACUCCAGGUCGCCGAGAUCAAUAUCUUUCCCCUUCGAAGAGUUCGGCCCCGUCACAAUCGUGGGAGCGGCGUUGGGACCUUGGUCUUCAGGUUCGGAAUCACUCCUUGUUUCUCCGCCCAAAGCAGGACCAGGAUGCACAAACCUCAGCGCCUUUCGAACUCUCUUUGGCGUAAAGGAAGUCCAGAAAAAAGGACCAUUCCUGAGCAGAUCCCUCAUCGCAAUAAUGUCCUCAGGAAACGGAGCAAGAGGGUUGAUAAAGGGACGAUUAUUUCGGCAACCUCCGAAACAGUGGGAUACAACUCUCCUCAACGGAUGCUGCGUCUACACGAACAAAGAAGAAAAACUUCCUCCACGAGUUGAAGUUAGAAGUGAACCCCUUUACCACUGACAUGAAGUUCCGAGGAACCAGCCUGUACGUGUCCGUGUCCCUGAUGAUCUGUAAUCGAAGAAGCGCUUCGAAGUGAUCGACGGUGAGAGAGAGACCAUGCUCGUAGCUCAGGACCAGGAUCUCUAUGAGGUGAUGGAUGCCAAGAGGAUUCAGUUUGCUUAUCGCCACCCCGAAACGACCCAACACACAGACGAUAAUCUCGGGGAUCGGGAACCACAAACGGCAACGCACUACGAAUGCCUCGUAACAUGUAAAGAAGCCCUCUGGGGGACUACUAGCGCAUUCUUCUUGACGAGGAACCCUGAAUUACACCGCGUCCGAAAUAUGAUAGAACGACCGCAUGACCUCGAGGAAUUCACUAGUACUCCUGCUCGGUGCACCUGCCUCCACCGGGCGAUGGUUCAUGAUCGGGAACGAUUUUUCUUUGGGAGGCGUGAUCGAACCGUAACACGCCACCCACCAUGCCUCGUUCUCGGCUGGGUCUACCGAAUGAGGAACGAAUUCCAUCUUCGGCACUCGAAGCUCUUCAGAAAUGUUCGCGGGCAAGGACCCUUUCUUCGAAAUCCUCUUCUUACUCGACAUCUCGUGUUUUUCUUUUUAAAUCAAGAAGGAAAUGAUAUAGAGAAAGAAAUUUUCAAGAAAAACCUCUCUAUGAGAAUGAGUAAGUGUGAAGUAAGUGUGAAGAUUGUGAACAAGUUACCUCCCUUCUUAUAAGCAUGAGAAAUUACUAUUUACUUGCGGAUUUUUGGACACGAACUUCGCCCAAAUACACCAAUCUCGUCCAAACUCGGCAUACCGCACAUUGGGACCUCGCUAGAAAUCUACGCUCCCAACGAGCUGGGGGGCUAACUGUUGGGGUCGAAAACGGUUACGACGAAGUUAACGUCCAAAUCCCCGAAGAAGAAAAACGUAGAAAACUUCUUCGACAAAUACUUUUUCGAAAUAGAUUCUUCUUUACGAAAAGCUUUGCGGAGGAAACGCGAGUCAUCGGACAAGAGCCCGAAAAGGAUCGUUACGCAGCGACCAAACAUGUGCUCCGCUCAGUUGCUAUGUAGCGACCGAGUUCGAGCCAAGGCUCAGUCGCUACGUAGCGACCGAACAUCCAUUCCGCUCGGUCGCUACGUAGCGACCAAGCUCGAGCGUUCGCCCAGUCGCUAUGUAGCGACUGAGCUCGAGCCGGAACUCGGUCGCCACAUAGCGACCGAGCUCGAACCAAAGAUCGGUCGCUACGUAGCGCUCGGUCGCUACGUAGCGACCGAGCUCCUCCGAAACGUCGAUACCACAUAGUCCAUGCGUUCUCGUCUACCCUUCGAUGCUAUCUCCCGAAGACCGUAUCGAACCCAUUUCACGAUUCCCCGCCAUUCUAACUUAUCGAUCAAACUUUACCAUAAAAACCGCGGAAAGUUCGUUCUUUAUCGAAAGAAGCCGUAAUAAACGCUUCUAGUCGGAAGACGGCCCAAAGGGACCUAAGACAUGACUGAGGCCCAACUUACGAUUUUGUAACCAACAGCCCGUAAGCCGCAUGACGGUUUAUGCUUGGUUCGCAAGGAAAGAUAAAUGUCAAGUUUCCGCGGAUAAAUACGAAAUUUUGAAGAUAAUUACAAAGAUCGGAAAAAAAUGGAAUAACUCCAUUUUUAUGCUAUGGCGGCUUAAGGACAGAAGGGGAAAAGCGUAAACCGACCUUGGAGCCAGUAUAUAAGGAGUCCUAGGCGAGAGGCAUGAGAGAGGACUUUACACAGCAAACUUAGCACUUAGAGCGAUUUUAGGCAAUUUUCCGUUUUUGUUAUUCGAGCUGCGACUCAAUUAGGUUUUUGUCGUCUUAGGGUUUUAGAACUAGGAAUCUCGCCGACAGCUCUCGUAGUCCAGACACUUACCUUGUUGUAAACGCUCAAACGCAGAUUCGGAAUAAGAACUAUCUUGCUCUCUUUUUCGAUUUCUUAUUUUAUUGUUGUUCUCGUUUCGUGUUCUGAUUGCUUGGCGUGUGGUAUUAGCAGAUAUCCGGGACCUCUGGGAAAUUAGGGUUUUCCUAGUUUCCUUAUUUAAACGGAAAUCGACAGUGCGAAUUUCGGUUCCCACAGUUGGCCGGGUGAAGCUGACGACCCUGAACUCGUUAGCUUGAUAACAGACAUUCAUGCAGGUAGAUUUGUGAAAGGUUUUUGGGAAGUGCAGGGGAAUGCAAAGGGGAAGGGGAAUGCGAAGAAGAAGAAAAUGAAGGGUGGAGUUUCGUCAGAAGCUGAGCCACCCACUAAGAAGCAGAAGAAAGUUAAGACACAAAAUGAGUCUGAAGCUGCUGCUGCGGGAAAGGGUUCUAGCGAGAAGGAAUGUACCAAAGAUUUGAAGUUGGAGAACAAAGCGACUCUGACGACCAUUGUGAGUACUCUGGAUAAUAUUUCCAGAAAAAUUGAUCAGAUUGACUCAUGGUUGGAAGCUUACGAGUUAGACAGGACCAGACCAUUGAUGGACCAAAAGACCAUUGAUGACAGGGUGAAAGCUUUACUGGAGGAGCGUCUGAAAGAUCUGGGGGUUGGAGAAACUCUCGAAAACAAUGAUAACCGCUCUCCACCAUUACCAGUGGUUCAAACGCAGCAGAAGUCUGUCAAUAGUCCAGCGUUAGCUGCGACUCCUGGUAAGGUUUUUGGACCGAAGAAGAAUUUGGCCAAGGAGCUUGAUAAGGAAUCAAGGGUGAAAAGGACUUUGGAUGAGGAGUUUGGUAAUGUCGCUAAAGCUACUGAUCUUGAUAGUCAACCUCUUGAUUUCGUAGUAAUUUCUCCAGCAAAGGCUACUAAGGAUGAUAAGGAUGCUAAGGUUCCAGCCUAUGGACGUGGCUGCAGGGGCAACCGUAUUGUUAAGGGUGAGGAAGCCGAUGAGAAGGAAAAAGCAGCGCAGGCAGAUGCUGCGUUUAAGAGGAAGGAGAAGGCUGAGGCUAAGAAAAAGGUGGCUGAGGCUAAGAAAAAAGAUGCUGAGGCUAAGAAAAAAGAGGCUGAAGCUAAGAAAAAAAGAGGCUGAGGGUAAGAAGAAAAAAGAGGCUGAGGGCAAGAAGAAACAAGAGGCUGAGAGUAAGAAAAAAGAGGCUGAAGCUAAGAAAAAGGAGGCUGAGGGUAAGAAAAAAGAGGCUGGGUUAAAGAAGAAACAAGAGGCUGAGCUAAAGAAGCGAAAAUAGGCUGAGUUAAAGAACAAAGAGGUGACUCCAUCUGGAGAGGACAGUGUAUUUGCUGAUGUGACUGGCAAAGUUGUUGGGGGAUAGAACGAAUUUGCGCCGGAGUCUGACGUCGAGGGAUCUGAACUGGUUAGAUCUGCCAUAAUUAAGGAAUAUCGGGAGAAAAGUGUUCAGUUAACUCCAAAAGGGUUUUCAAAGGCGGCAGUUUCUUCACCAGCAGUUUUUCCGUACGUAGGAGAGAAUGGAACGACGUGCAUGAGGAAAAAUGUUACUCCUUCAUCAGUAAUAUAUGACCCUCUGGCACCUGUUGAUCCGGUGCUACUCGAAAAACUGAUGCAACACAUUAAGGGAAUUCCACCCAAGCACCAGCAGAUAAACCAGCAGUCCUCUCCGCUAAUCAUGAGGGUGAUUUCUACAGCAUACUCAUCCAUGAAAGACCGUGGCCGGAAAAGGAAUAUGGAUGGGUGUUUGAUAAUGUAAGUCUUUAGUGCGGCUGAGUUAUAUAUUAAUUUUAUUAUAUUUCGGCUGAGUUAUAUAUUUGAUUACGGCUGACUUACAUAUUCUUUUAGUACGGCUAAGUUAUAUAUUAUAUUACGGUUGACUUACAUAUUCUUUUAUUAUAUCACGGCUGACUUGUUAAUAUUAUUUGUGUAGCAUGUCGUUGCGUAUUUGAACGUCCUCAUUAAAAGGUCCAUGCGAAAUCCCACUCCAUUCUGGUCCAAGCGGAUUGCCUUCGUUAACGUUUGGCGGCAAAGUUUUUUGAUUCACGAUUUCACUCAGUUCAAGAUAAAACCUAGUAUGUUCAAUUUCAAAGGCAAUGGUUAUGAAGAUAUGUUAAAGGGUAAGCUUCCCAAACACUGUCCAACAAACUUAAAGUGGUAUGAAGAUGUGGAUCACUUGUACGGAUGUCUUCAAACCGGCGGAAAUCACUGGGUUGCGUAUCAUGUGGAUCUGAAGAAGGGGAAGAUUGAUUGCUACGAUCCAAUCUUUGGAGAGGCAACACCCGAAAGUGAGCAGAGAAUUCUAAAUUCAUUUAAACCGCUGACGCACAUGAUUCCGUAUAUGUUGAGUGAUCAUAUUCCUACCAAUAUCCGAGCCCCUAGUAAGAAGAAGUUCUCAUUCAGAAGGAGGAGCAAAAGAUACACUCCACAAAACACCCAGAUUGGCGAUUGUGUGGUGUAUUCGUUGAAGUUUGUGGAGUGUCUAGCACUUGGUGUAACGUUUGAUGGGAUAAACGAUAACAAUAUUCAAGGUUUACGGAUGAAGAUGGCAGCAGAGAUCUUCGAUGAAGGAGGAAAUACUGUGAUGAGCAGUUUGCUGGCUAAUUGAACCUGUGUUUAUUAUUUUGUACUUGACAUAUGUUGAUGUUUUGUACUUGACUUAUGUUAUUUUGUACUUUAUUAAGUACUUGACUCAGUCUUAUCGUUUUUAUAACCCAGCCGUUUCGUAUAUGUGUAACUCAGCCUUACCCCAAACAUACCCUAGAAUCGUAAAAUGUUCAUAUAACUCAGUCGUAUCGAUUAGUAUAAGUCAGCCGUUACGAUAUUAUAACUCAGCCAUACCUCAAACAUACCCUAGAAUCAAAAAAAAUUAAAUGUUUAUACUUUAAAAUGUUAAAUUGAAACUCCAAUUAUAAAUUUGAAGUGAAUAUAUAAUCAACUGAAUGUGUCUUCUAUAUUGAAUUUACGAGUUUAGAAUCAAUCAUGAUCUUGAGGUAUAUGUUGUCUUACAAUUACUCAUAAACUUAACUGAUAUAUAUAAGGUGUGAGCAUAACUCAAAACUCAUAAACUAUUAUUGUGUUAUUUAUUAUGAAUUUUUGUUUUUAUAAUAUUUCUUGCACCAUAAAUCCAAAUUCCAAACCAAAAAACCCAAAAAAGCAAACCUAAACCCUAAAUAAGCAACCCUAAACUCUAAACCCCAUUUACUAAGUCAGCCGUAAAUGUUAAAGUAACUCAGCCGUAAAGUGUAACUUAAUCUUGACGUUUGGCGGGAAAAAGAUAACUGAUUCUUGGGAAAUUUUAACUCGAGACGUUUGACGUUCUGUACCUCUCUAUAUAUUGUCUCCUCUCUUACACUUUUCUCUCUCUAGAAAAAACCUAAACAAUAUCUCUAUAUCCCCAUCAAAAGUUAUGCUGAUUGUUCCUGGUUAUUCAACGAUGUUAGAGAACAUUGUCAAUGCGAUACUAAGCUCUGCAAAUCGUGAAAACCUCCCUCUUCUAUACCCUGGUCCGGGAGAAUUGCUUGACACAACCAGUACUAUCUGGUUCAAAUUUUUAAGUGAUCUCUCCCUCGUCAUCCCGUCGAUUCUUGUGGAAGGAUGGGUUCAUGAUUAGCCGACAUACCGCGCCAUUCCCGAUCAUUUUAAGGAACGAUGGUUUCUUCAACUCGCUGUAAGAACAGUUUGUCCACUUAAAAUGGCAGCAUAGCGUCGCUGAGUUAUUUUUAUUUUGUGUUCUCAACAGUUUUGUAUUCUUUUUUGUUGUAGCGCAAAAACACGUGGGAUCGAAGGCAUAAUUUGACACUUUGGACACAUUUUAAUCAUGUGGCCAGAACGCUAUUUCGUUGCCAGAUGCGCCAUUUGAAGAGAACUUGGGCAAACGGAGGCGACAAGCCUCCGUGGAUGUUAACAAGAGUUUGGCGUGAUCUCGUCCACAUAUUUGAAAAGUUUGGUCCUGACAAUUUUGGUUUCUGAAAGUGAUGCCUUGUCUAUAUUUUGAAUCUGAUAAUUUCGGUUCCUGAAUGUAAACAUGUCGAAUUCAAAUUUCUUUUAUAUUAAGUACUAUAACUCAGCCAUAAUGUGAAUAUAAUUCAGCCGUAUCUGCUAAAAUAACUCAGCCAGAACGUAUAAGGUAACUCAACUUUGAAUGUUAAUUAAACAUAAACCCAGCCAUAAGUGACCGAAACUCAGCCGUUAUUAAACUUAUGAUAAUUCAGCCAUAGUAAAACAUAGCCAAAACCCAGCUGUGAAUGUUAAUAUAAUACAUUUCUAAUGGGACGUUUCCACUUGCUUGAUUGGACUGAGUUGUCGAUUAAUUAUGGCGCGUGUGGAAAAUUCGGCUCAAACAUAAUAUCGAGGCUAAUUAUUAAGAGUUUGAAAUACACGGCUGCCACGCAUGUGUCGAGAGAUUUACAAUAUCGAGACAUUUAAAUAUUAUUAUAUUAAAUAAAAAGGAAAUAAGAAAACGACGCCGUUUCAUCAUGUCGUCUUCUUACUCACCCUAAUUCCAUUUAAUUCCAUUUUGUUUCUGAAAUUGUUUUGAGAAUCAAAAUGUCUUCUUCAUCCUGCGUUUCAGGAAAUUCUUACAGACGACGUUUGAACGCGGAAAGAGGAACACCAAAACAAUGUUGGUGUGGUGAACCCUGUUACAUUUCUACAUCUGGAACCGCUACAAAUCCAGGAAGAUUGUACUAUUGUUGUAGAAAAGGAUAUAAUAAGGUUCGUUUUGGUUCUUAUUUCGCAUGUUCUGUAACGUAAUACUUAGAUCUGGUUAUAUUGUGAAAAUGGAGACAUUUAUUCAAAUGGGCGGAUGAGUGUUUGGUUGAAGAGGUUGAGGAUAUAAAGUCACUGAUAAGUGGCAUGAACAAAGACAUCUCGGAAUUCAGACUUAACGUUGAUCGGUUGGAGAAAGAGAUUGAAGUAGUGAAGACGGCGUCUGAGGGAAAAGGAGAAGAAUGUAUGAGUCAGGGUCGGUGUUUGAGGAAUGUGGUUGUUUGUGGGGUUGGAAUGUCGUUACUUUGCUACUACUACUUCUUUGUUUAGUAAUGUUUUGUACAUAUAAGUCAGCCUAUGUUUUAUGUAACUCAGACUUAAUGUCUUACAGUAACUCAGCCGUCAAGUAAUCUAAACGUUUCCGAAACUCAGCCAUAAUAAAACAUAGCCAAAACUCAGCCAAAACGUAUAAGGUAACUCAGUCACAACUUUAAGCUAACUCAGCCAAAACGUAUAAAGUAACUCACUCAGAACUUUAAGCUAACUCAGCCAAAACGUAUAAGGUAACUCAGUCACAACUUUAAGCUAACUCAGCCAAAACGUAUAAAGUAACUCACUCACAACUUUAAGCUAACUCAGCCAAAACGUAUAAAGUAACUCACUCAGAACUUUAAGCUAACUCAGCCAAAACGCAUAAAGUAACUCACUCACCCAAUUUCAUUAUUAAUGGGACGUUUCCACUUGCUUGAUUGGACUGAGUUGUCGAUUAAUGGUGGCGCGUGUGGAAAAUAUCGAUGUCUUUAUAAUAUCAAGACGAUUUAUACUUUAACUCCGCCAACAAUAUGAGAAUAUCGAGGCUAAUUAUUACUCCCUCCGCUUGCUUGAUUGGACUAAGUAUUUAAUUGACGUUUUACAUGUCUGCACGUAAAUUAAGAAAUCUGAACGUUUUACAUGUCUGCACGUAAAUUAAGAAAUUUGAACGUUUUUCAAUGCACGUAAAUUAACCUCUUUUCAUUGGUGUUUAAUGCUAAUAUGAUUUUAUAUUAUGUGACCAAAACUCAGCUUAAUUAAACAAAUGAUAAUUCAGCCAUAAUUAAAUAUAAACCGAGCCAUAAUUCAAUUAUAAAUCAGCCAAACGAAACAAUAAAUCAGCCGUCAUAAAACAAUAACUCAGCCAUUAUUAAUAACGAUGUUAAUAACUCUGCAUGAUGUUUGUUGAUGUUUGCAUGAUGUGUGUGCUUGAAAACAAUAAAUCAACUGUAAUAAAACAGUAACUCAGCUGUAAUUAAAUUAUAAAUCAGCCAAAAGAAACAAUAACUAAGUCUUCAUUACAUUAAUUUGUAGUCAGACAUACAUAAUGGCAUAGCAAAGAACUUAAAAAGAUAAAAUUCUGAUAGAUUACAUCUUCACCACUUCCUUGUGUCCCUAAUAAUGCUUAUCGGUUCAAAAUCACGUAAGAAUGUGCCCUUUGAUCCAGAAACAGCGCUCACACAUGUUGUCAUCCUUAGUCAUAUCAAUGUGCCACAAGCAGAGACAUUGUCGCUCCACAUGUGUUGCACAUUGGCAUCUGUAGAACGACGGAACAUAAGCUGAAACAAACAACGCCCUAUUUUGGCGGAACUCGUCAGAAUGCCACAAACCCCAUCCCCAUUUAACAGAUUGCACUAGUUUCCCUAUCCAAUGAACUGAUUCUCUUGGAGUACUAGCAAAAUACUGCCCAUCACAACAAAAGAUUGCUCGAGUCAUUUUGUGUGUAUACACAGUACGCUCAUAUCCUGCAUCUACUGCACGCUUCAUGAGAGAAAGCCCUUUUUCUUUAAGGCCGAAUGCGAAGAAGAACUGUGCACCCUUUAUAUAAAGUGUGCUUUGAUUUUCCUCAGCGUAGCAAGAUUUCAACAAUGAAGAAGGCAUAUUGAGUCCCCAGGGAACGGAUAACACAUCGUAGAAAUGGUAUACACCACGCCGCUCUGCUAACGCCUUCAUCGACUUGGACGAUGCUUUGAGGCCAUAGAGAUCUUGGAAGGAGUUACGGGCCACACGUUCAACCACCAACGCCUGAAUUUCUUCAGGCAAUUCAAGAAGAGGGAAAUAUUUCAUUUACUGUGAAAUUGAUUUUGAGAGAGAGAGAAAUUGUGUAAAAAAUAGAGAGUUAACAUAUAAUUGUUCGAGAAGUGCCUUAUUUAUUGACAGUAAAACGGUUUUCAUAUCGCGACGUUUCUUAUAAUGGGCGGGAAGUUAUUCCAUAACCCAUCCGUAAUACAAAUUCAUUCAAUAAAUCAGCCGUUUGAAAACAAAAACCCAGCCGUAAUACAAAAAAUGAAAAUCCCUAAUCCAGCCGUAACACAUUUACAUGAAAACAGAAACACAGCCAUAAUACAAAAAUAUGAAUAUCCCUAAUCCAGCCAAAAUACAUUUACAUGAAAAUAAAAACACAGCCGUAAUACAAAACAUGAAAAUCUCUAAUCCAGCCGUAAUACCAAAAACAUUAAAACAAAAACACAAUCGUAAUACAAAAACAUGAAAAUCCCUACAACACUUGCUUACAUCGGACAAGUUUCCGCAUUAUGUCCACUCUGUCUACAUCGAGAACAUGUGUGUUCUUUCCUAGGAUGUUUGUUUUGAAGUGCAACUUCUAAAUCAGAUUUUAUCCUAUUUUUCUUAGGUCUUCCUGGCUGUUGACGAAUAGACGGGGGCAAGCACGGUUUGUUAGCCACGAUUUCUGGAACAGGUUAUGCUGAGUCAGCCGGCAUGACAGAUUCAGCGUAUGCGCUCACCAAAUAUGCACUGUUAUAGUAAGGACUGCACAGGGAUAUACGACAAACAUUGUUGUACUCCGCAGCUGCGAUUGCGUGUACACAUGGUAAUUUAUCGCGUUCGAAACGACGACAUGUGCACUUUCGAAAUGACGACAUGUGCGCUUUAACUUCAGUGUGAUGAUCAUCAAUCCUUUGGACCGUCAACUCUCUGGUGGCAGUUACACGACCCUAUUAACAAAAAAAGAAUAAAUAUGAAACGACUGACUUGUUACAUAUUACGGCUGAUUUAAGAACUACCAAGGCUGAGUUAAGAAUUUUAUGAAACGAAUGACUUAUUACAUACUACGGCUGAUUUAAGAACUACAAAGUCUAAUUUAAGAAUUUUAUGCAUUUUAAAGACAGACUUAUUUUUACUGUUACGACUCACUUACAUGUAGUAGUUUCUCGACACCACGCGUAAGCGUCGUUGGCUGCGACCUGGCAUCCUCUCUCCGUUCAGCAAACCAUCUGGUCAUCAACGCCCGUAUCGAUUCUAAUAUUCGAACAAUGUUUAGACCUCUAGCAUUCGACAAUGCUCUGUUCAUUGAUUCUGCUAUGUUUGUAGUCAUCAAAUUGUACCUCUCACCUGGGAAAUGAACACGCGUCCACAGUCGGACAUCAGCUCUUUGGAGGUAGCCGUGAAGUGCAGGAUUAAUGGCUUCAAUCUCCUCAAAAAUCGCAGUAAAGUCAGAAAUCCUAAAACAUCAUGCCGCUUUCUUCACCAGACGGAAUGCAUCUUUUCCUUUGUACCGUCCCAAUAUGUUCUUAUAUAAAUGGUAGGUGCAUAUUCCCCGAGCAGCUAACGGAUACACAUUUCUAAUUGCUUUCCCUAUCGAGUUAUGCAUAUCCGAGAUUAUCGCAAGACCCUCGUCGUCAGGAAUCAGAAGUUUUAGUUGCGUAAAAAACCAAUGCCACGAAUCAUCAUUUUCUGUGUCAACCACUGCGAAGGCUAUUGGAAAAAUCUGAAAGUUACCGUCCUGAGCUAGUGCUCUGAGUAGCGUCCCUUUGUAUUUACCAUUGAGAAACGUACCGUCGACUACAACAACUUUGCGCAUGAAAGGAAACCCAUUUACGCUCGCACCAAAGGCAAGAAACACAUACAUGAAUCUUCCAAGCUCAUCGAUUUGAAGACGCGUAACUGUACUCGGAUUUUCCCUUCUUAUCAUGUAUAAGUAAGAAGGCAAGAUUUCAAACCCACACUCAGGUGUUCCCUCAUCGAUUUCCCAUGCAAAUUUCAGCGUCCGGUGUGAUUUCCAAUAAUUCAUCUGUUCACAUGAAAAAACGAUCCUCAUAACUCACCCGCAUCAAAUAAUUAAGACAGCCACAACGUAAAAAUAACUCAACCCUAUCUUUACUAUAACUCAGCCGCAUCUAACAUUAUAGUAACCCAGCCGCAUUGUAUGAAUAUGUCAGCUGUUAUAUUUGAUAUUACUCAGUCGUAUCGUUAAAAUAACUUAGCCACAACAAAGUAAUUACCUUUAUACCAAACUGCUUAGUGAUAGCUAUUCCGACGCUCGUAGGGCGAACGGUCGGACCAACGUCGCCGAGAAAGUUCUUGUACAACUCUCCUAAAAUAUUUGGUGUUGCUUGUCGAGAUCGAUUAGAACGCUCUGUGCAGGAACAUGUAUGCUUCGAAUCGUAAAUACGAACAUGAAACGCCGGGGAUUCUCCUUGGGUAGAAGCACGAACUCUCCAGAGACAUCCAUCAACCCAACACUUAACAACGUAUGAUGUCGGGGUUGAUGUUUCUACAUCAAAAUCAAAUUGAUGCCUCACUGUAUGAAGUUUCAGUCGUCUCUCCAAAUCGUCUUUAAUCUCGUAUCGUUGACCUACCGCAAUGUCUAUCGACGACAUCUCCAACCUUAGAACCUCCAGAUUCCCUUUAGAUCCGCUCAUCGAGAAGUUCUGAUAUCUCUUCUUGGGAGGUAGCGUUAGUGAAUCUUCGUCUUCUGUAGGAGACUCGCCGUAUGAGUUGAAGUUAUCAUCUUCAGAUGACGCACCGUCCGAAUCGUCGAACAUAUCAAAUCGUCUUUCAAAUUCAUCAUCUUCUUCGUUUUCUUUGCCUAUUUCAUCUUCUCCGACUACGUCGUGUUUUCCUCCUUCGACAUUACUAGAGCAGUCAUUCUCAUUGUCCUCUUGUUCCUUCUCCAAACUGCAACCAUCGUAACUCCCACUGUAAUUUUUGUCUCUGGACUCAACUACUGAAGCUUCUACUUCUGAGCUAAAGCUGAAAAAUGUUUUACUCUUCUCUCUUGCUCUGUUCUCCGUAAUCUCCACACAGAAACGUAGUUGUUCGAUUUUCUUUAGGCUUAGAAAACCUUGCAAUUGUCGAGUAUUGGACACGUAAACUGGUGGAGUGUCGUGCGCCAUUGUUUUCAAUGCUUUAUUCGAGAACAUGUAGCUAAGCUGAAUAUGAUCCCUCAAAUCAUUCAAUCUGUAAUCUUCGAGAACAGUUUUUGCGAAAUCUUCAUGUAUUGUCUUCUCAUCUAAAUGAAGAACUCUACACCCUCUUCUGUCGACGUUGAAUACAUAUCUGUUUUUCUUAAUCCAGUUACCGGAAACAAUAACUACCGGAUCCAUAACCAACUGAGAAAGAUGAAAACGAUAGAUAAAUAACAUGCAGAAGAACAUGAACAGUCUCAUAAACCAAGUUGUAAAUUUCGUUCGUUAGUGAUGACAUGGCAAAUCCGAGUUGAUGACAUUGCGGAUUUCUUGCUCGUAUCUUGGAUUUUUUUACAAAACUCAACCAACAAGUUAGUAUUAUCUCGGCCUUAAAGUAACAAUAACUCAGCCGUCUCGAAUUUAAAUAACUCAGUCAUGUCGUAUUUAAAUAACACUGCCAAUUAACGAUAACUCAGUAAUUAUGAAAUUAAAACUCAGCCGUAAUUGUAGAGAACCAAGCCAUAAACAAAAAUCAGCCGUAAUUAAAAGACAACCCAGCCGUAAAUUAAAACAUAACCCAGCCAUAAUAAUGUCAUAACAAAGUACAUUAAAAAAAGAUAAGAUUCAAUACAAUACAUCUUCACCACUCCCUUGUGUCCCUAAUCACGCUCAUCGGUUCAAACUCACGGAAGAAGAGCCCCACCUCUUUGAUCCAGAAACAGCGGUUACACAUUUUGUCACCCUUACUGUUUUCAACGAACCACAAGACCCAAUCUCGCUCCAAAACAGGAACACAUUGGCAACUAUAGAACGAAGGAACAAUGGUUGAAAUGAACUCGUCCUUCUUUGCCCGAAACUCGUAACCGUGAAGAGAACCCCAUGCCCAUUUUAGAGAUCGAACUAGUUUCCCGAUCCUAUCAACUGAUUCCCUUGUAAAACGAGCAAAAUACUCCUCAUCACCCCAAAAAAAAUUUCUAGUCAUUGCGUAUGUAUACACAGCACGCUCAUAUCCUUCAUUCGCUGCAAGCUUCAUGAAAGCAAGUCCUUCUUCCUGAAUGUUAAAUGUGAAGAAAAACUGUACACCCUUCAUAUAAAGUGUGCUUGGAUUUCUCUCCGCGUAGCAUGUUUUCAACAACUCAGCAGGCAUAUUAUGUCCACAGGGAACGGAUAAUACAUCGUAAAAAUGGCAUACACUACGCCGAUCUGCUAACGCCUUGAUCAACUUGCACGAUGCUCUGAGGCCAUAGAGAUCUUGGAAGGAGUUACCGGCCACACGUUCAACCACUAACGCCGGAAUCUCUUCAAGCAAUUCAAGAAUCAGAAAAUAAUCCAUUAAUAUAACGUUAAUAUAACUAAGCAAUGAUGGUUGAUAUAACUUAGCCAUGUUGGUUAAUAUAACAUCGAGGCCUUCAUAGAGAUCGAGAUGGUAAUACUUUAUUAUUUAACUCAGCCGUUAAUAUUAAUGGGACGGCUCAGUGUGGAAAAUAUGUCAAAAGUGUGGAAAAUACGGCUAAGAACUAAUAUCGAGGCCUUUUAUUACUUUAGUAUUUAAAAACUGAUUUAAACGUUUAAUGGGACGUUUCGUCUUUCUUGAUUUGACCAUGUUGAUAAUUAAUUAUGGCGCUUCAGAAGUGUGGAAAAUACGGCUCAGAACUAAUAUCGAGGCCUUUAUAACAUCGAGACGAUAAUAUCUCAGACUUAAUUAAAUGAUAACUCAGACAUAAUUAAAUGAUUACUCAGCCAUAAUUAAACGAAAACUCAGCCGAAACCAUUAACAUAAACCCAUACAUAAAUAUGUUGUUCUACAUACAUAAUGGCAUAGCAAAGAACAUAAACCCAUACAUAAAACUCAGCCUCAAUUCAUUUAAUCCGUAAUCAUCGAGUACAGACUUUGCGAAUUCUUCAUGUUUUGUUUUCUCAUCUAAAUACAGAACUUUACACCAUCUACUGUCGGCGUUGAAUACAUAUCUGUUUUUCUUAAUCCAGUUACCAGAAAACAAUAAUUACCGGAUCCAUUAGAUCUCUGAGAAAGAUGAAGAAUAAGAUGAAGAAGAUAGAUAGAUAGAUAAAGAAGAUGAAUAAAAAGAUGAACACACACAAACCUAGUUGUAAAGUAGUUCGUUAGCAGUGACAUAGCAAAUCCGAGUUGAUGACAUGGCGGAUGACAUGGAAAAUUAGUUAAUCAGCCGACAAACGAAAAUAUAAUUCAGCCUAUGUAAAUCAGCCCUCAUGUACAAUGUAAGUCAGCCGAACCGUGGAUACUAGUUCAAAAAUUAAUCUUUUGAUCCGAAAUCAGCCGUAAUUAGGAUGAAAAACCAUAAAUCAGCAGUAUCGUCACAUAAAUCAGCCGUCAAACGAAUGAUAUUCUAGUAAUUAAUCUUUCGCUAAUAAGUCAGCCGUAAAGAAGCUGAGUUUAAUGUUAAUCCAUCCUAUUACGGCAGAUUAAAUAUAAACUCAGCUGUAACAACAUCCCAUUAGUCAGCCGUAAAAUAAAUAACUCAGUCAGUCGAUAUUCAUUAACUCAGCCGCGGAAACAUAACUCAGCCGUGUCUUAACUACAACUCAGCUGAAUAUUCCAGUAAUCAAACCGUCGAUGUAUAAGUCAGCCGUAACUUGUGUCUGUAAGUCAGCCGUUAUCCCAUAAAUCAGCCACAUUUCUGUAAAUCAGCCGUACCGGGCGGCUGACUUAUGUUCUUAAAUCAGCAUUUUCCUCUUAAGUCAACCGUGUUUAUUAAUUCAGCCGACACGUAGCAAUAAAUCAGCUGUAACAACGUAUGUAGUGAUUUACGGCUGACUUAAUGAAAACACGGAACCGAAUUCCUACGUGGCGCCGGGUUUUUGCUUACGGGGCAGCGAAAAGUAAUGGCAUUCUUGUAAAUACGUUUUUUCUGAAAGCGUAAAAAAAAGGCACGCUUGGUAUUUAAAAAAUGCCACUAAUAAAAAAAAGAUCUGUAUGGUUCUAGUCAAUUGUCCUAAAAUAUUGUAUAUUUGAGUAAACUUCCCUAUUAUUUAUAACAACUCGAACAAGAUAUCACAAAAACACGGGCUCGAGCUAGGAAGAAGUAUCGAAAAUAACAAGUGAUCACACAAACAUGAGCUCGAGGAAGAAGAAGUAUCGAAAAGAAUACUGGGUUUGUUGAAGUUUUAUAAUACUUUGAGAAUUCUAUUUACCCCAUUUCUAGCACGCAUGUUAUAGACGUGAGUCAUGACUGUAGUACAACUGCACAUAAUAUGAUACAAGAAAGGAAGAUGGUAAAAAAUCCAAAGUUUGAGUUCGCCCUCUCUCUGGCACGAAGACCAAGACGGCCGCAACUAGGCCUGGACAAAAUAACCGGAACCGAAGAAUCGAACCGGAACCGAACCGAACCGAAAUACCCGAAACCGAAACCGGACCAAUACCCUCAAAUAUCCGAGCGGUUCCUAUAUUUUUAUAUCCGAAAUAACCGAACCGAACCGGAACCGAACUGAUAACCGAACGGGUACCCGAAUAUAUAAAAAUAUUAAUUAUAUAUACAUAUAACAUCACUAAAUAUAUAAUUUUAAUUUAAAACUCUAUUAAAAGAAUCUGAAAAUAGUUGAGGAUAACUAAAUUAUUAUAAAGUAUCCAAACUACCCGAUAGUAUCUGAAACUAUCUGGAUAGUUUUAUCAGAAAUAUCCAAAGUAAUCCGAAAUAUCCAAAUUUUUUAUCUAAAUCAUCAUAAUUAUUUGAUAUUUUACCCUAAAUAACCGAUAUUUUAUCCAAAUUAUCCGAAUUACCCGAACUAUCCGAACCCGAACCGGAUCCAAAUGAGAACCGAAUUUUUUCUGGUUCCUACAUUUACUAUCUGAACCGAACCCGAAACUAUCUGAACCGAACCCGAAACUAUCCGAACCGAACCUGAAACUAUCUGAACCGAACCGAAAAAUAGGUCAAGUACUAAAUGAAUCCUCUAGCCCCUAUCUGAACUACCCGAAACCUGAAAUACCCAAACCGAACCGAACCGAUAUCCGAAAUGCCCAGGCCUAGCCGCAACUACAGGAUGAGCUCCCCCUCCGGCAUCUUCUCCGGUGACUGCUCCUUCUUCUGAAGUGUGCGUUUUCCCCUCCUCUUCCGUGCCGUUCCUGAGUUUGCUCCGAUGGUCAUCUCCCCAUCUUCUCUCCCAACACCGAUGACUCAACGCUCGAAGCUCAAACCAGGAUCUUCUCCUUGGCGAACCUCCCGUCUCAUAGACCUCAACCCCCGUCCACCUUCGGAGCCUCCGGACCCACCGGAUCGAGUCCCUCCUUCACAAUCCGGAAGCUCCACCAUCUACUUGUGAAGCCCCUCCACUGCUGCUCCACCGCUUCUCACCCACCUCGAGCUUGCGUUUAGAGUUCCCGAGAUCCCUCUCCUCCAACGUCACAGGUCUACUCACCGUGAGACAGAGCAACCGCCAUCUCCGCCGUUUGUUGAGCUUCACCAACCAGAUCUACGUCUCGUCUAUUCACCGGUGCUUUUGGCCAAGAACCUUCACUGAUAGAUUUUCAUCAGACCUCUAUGUAUGGGCUUUCAAAUUUUAAUAAUAGGAUUGCGGUUCAGUUUAGGGUCCAAUGAGAGCUGCGGGUCUCGAUACGGUAAUGUCUGAGCCCUUGUUCUCAGUUUGGCCUCAGCUCCCACCCCUCCUUUGAAUAUAGCCAAGAGCUUUUCAUCACCUCCAACAGAAUCUGAAAUUUUCUCAGCCUCUAUAAAUCUAACUCAAAGGUGUUCUUUCUGUUCAAUCCCUGCAACUCCGGUAUCAUCUAUGCGGUUUUUCAAAAGGUCCGAGCAUAUUGAACAUGGGAUUCCGGCGUACGUGGUCUCAGCUCGCUGUCACUGCUCUACCCUGUCUCCUCAUCCACAGCAAACCAACCAUUCCAAGCUGAACUCAGCCACACAUGGACCUCCUGGAAUUUAUCUCUCACGCUUAGCUUGAUACAGCCUGAUGAAAUGUGUUUUUGUUUGGUUUCCGUAACUCUCUGGCUCCAACACGGUAAUGUUGGAAGAUGGAGUCAAUGCGUGAACUCAAAAACGGGUUGCCCAUCAAGUCUGUUCGGGUUCUUAUCUCAGGUUAAGGAAAUCAAGUCUCCAUGGCCGGUUCUAGCUUCAAAUACACUGAUGGAAUCAGCGAUAGCAUCAACCGCUCCACUAUCUAGCCCACCGACCAAUUUGCUCUCUGGAAUGUUUGAGAUUCACAUAGUCUCCCGGGUCAAUUCAACGCUCAUCAGAGCUAUUUCCGGUAACAGUCAGUCCAAAGAAAUCAUUGGCAUCGUCUCUGACAUCCGUUCGAUCUCCUCUGGCUUUGCAACAAUCGUGUUUUCUCACAUCUCUCGAUUUGAAAACUUGAUUGCCUACAUUAUAGCUAAGCAGACUUUACAUGCAUUUUCUUCUUUGUAUUGAACUCUUGGGGUUGGGCCAUCGUUUUUGGGCCUCUCUCUUUUCUACUUUAAUGAAAUUUCUGUGACAAAAAAAAAAAGAGGAAGAUGGUACAAACGUGAAACCAAAUUAGUUUAGAUAUGUUGCGUUAAAACGUUUAUCCUUGAGUUGCAAACUCAAAAUGCUAAAUUUGAAACAAUCAAACAUAUAUAAUCGAUUAGGUUUGAUUUGGUCAUUUUGCCUCUAAAGGCCACAGUAUAAAACUAUAAAUGGGUGUUGUAGACUUUUGUUGUUGUCGUUGUUGUCGUCGUCAGAGUUAUGGACUCUACGUUGCACUUUAUUCAUUUCAAUGGUGACAUGGUGGCCAUAAUCAUCAAUAAGUAGCAAAAUAUAUGCAGUACACUAAGGAUCAGCUCGUAUAGAUAUAUAAAUGUUAUACUAUAGAACCAUAGAAAAGGCCAAGUUUCCCACUUUAUAUCUAGCUUUCACAUGAACACAAUGAAAUCAUAAUGUUUAAUUUAUAUCUCUCGGAGCAUCUAAAUGGUCAGACAUUUAAACAAACAAUCAGUCAUCAGAGAGAAACGAGACUAUUCAUCACUCGAAAGACUUUCAUAUACACACACAAAGGGGAAGCAACACCCACAUGAGACACGACCAACAACUUAUUUCAUUGUAAUCAAACACAAUUCAAUAACAAAUGAUCAAAUCUCAUACGUUUAACUGAUAAUAUAUGUCAUCCUAAGGCGGCUAAACCUAAUUGAGUCGCAGCUCGAAUAACAAAAACGGAAAAUUGCCUAACUGCCCUAAGUGCUAAGUUUGCUCUGAGAAAAAUCCUUCUCCAUGCCUCUCGCCUAGGACUCCUUAUAUACUGGCUCCUAUGUCGGUUUACGCUUUUCCUCUUCUGCCCUUAAGCCGUCAUAGCAUAAAAAUGAAGAUAUUUCAUUUUUUCCGAUCUUCGUAAUUAUCUUCAAAAUUUCGUAUUUAUCCGCGGAAACUUAACAUUUAUCUUUCCUUGCGAACCAAGCGUAAACCGUCAUGCGGCUUACGGGCUGUUAGUUAAGAAAUCGUAAGUUGGACCUCGAGUAAUGUCUUAGGUCCCUUUGGGCCGUCUUCUGACUCGAAGCGUUUAUUACGACUUCUUUCGAUAAAGAACGAACUUUCUGCGGUUUUUACCGUAAAGUUUGAUCGAUGACUUAGAAUGGCGGGAAACAUGAAAUGGGUUCGCUACGGUCUUCGGGAGAUAGCAUAGCAACCGAUCUUCGGUUCGAGCUCGGUCGCUACGUAGCGACCGAGCGGAAUGGACGAUCGGUCCCUACGUAGCGACUGAGCCUUGGCUCGAACUCGGUCGCUACGUAGCGACCGAGCGGAACAGACGCUCAGUCGCUACGUCCCGCUCGGUCGCUAUGUAGCGACCGAGCUCGAGCCAAGCUCGGUCGCUACGUAGCGACCAGACAGCGUGCAUGUGCGGUAGUUGCGUAAUGACCGAGCUUGGUUCAUCUGUGUUCUGAUCGUCAUACUCGGACUUAUCCGUAGCUGGUCUGGGUAUGUUUCCAAUGGCUUAUGUUUGAUCUAAAUAGAAUUCGAACGAAGCUUUAUCUCGGUAACAUACGUUGCGACGUUUUCUUGACCGAGCAUGAUUUGUUUCGUAAAUACAUACUUGUAUUCUGCGGGGAUUUGGACGUUAACUUCGUCGUAACCGUUUUCGACCCCAACAAUGGACUCUCAGACAUUGAUUCCUUCGUGACCGAUUUUGACCCCAACACCUACUAUUAUGUCAAAUGAAGAGAUCUCAUAGAUCCAUGGUAAGAUUAUCAACCAUUUAUCUAGCUAUUUCGUUAAUGUAUUUGCAAGAUGAUCAUACACACUGACACGAGUGAUUAUAUCUAUGAGGACCGCCCCGUUUUUACUGACUCGAAAAAUCAACAUCAAAACAAUGAACUAUAUUAAACAUUGUGAAUUACCACAUGACGGAGACCUGCGGUUCUUCUCCAGUUCCUCAUGUGGCAAACAUAUCCACAAAAUCAGAAACCAAUUAUAUAAACUCCAAUUCAUACUCGUCAAGUUCAAUAAAAAAAUCUCGAGAUUAUUAAGUUAACCAGUAACUUUCUAGCGAGGUCCCCAUAGCUCUGCACGCUCACAUUCCUGCAGCGAGGUCUUCAUGGCUUUGCAAACUCAUAUUCCUGCUAGCAGAUUCCUUGGCAUAACUCAACCUUUGCGACACUUCUGCCUGCAGGUUCAUAUUAAGUAACAUCACUUAUUGAACUUAAAAGGACUACUCUGACAUAACAAGUUCAUCAGUCCAAAUUUACUUUUUAACUAUAACAGCCAACCACAGUCCUCACAAAUCCAUGGAACAUCGUUCCUCAACUUAAGGAAAAAAAUGAGUAGAGCAUACCAUGCACCGGUCGAAGACACGGAUUUGGGGAGCAUUCUCCUCUGCAGUGAGAGGCUGAGAGCAAUCCUACCUUGAGUACACUUGUCACAGAACACGUCACCACAGUUUCUGCAGUGAUGCUGAGAUAAAAAUAGUCCAUAAGGUUUGUCAGUCCCAACAUGGCACUUAAUUCCAGAUUAGAAGAUCGGGGGGAGAAACAAUACCCUUAGAUUGAAUGCACCGAAAUCUGAACCACAUAAUGUACACUUCGAAACAGCUUCAUCAGGAACCUGAACCCAGAUACAAAUGAAGUGAGAACAACCAAAUACCUAAGCGCGAAAGAUGAGAAUGGUUGAUGUUUUUAUUUCAAAAAGAAACGAGAAAACCCUACCCAAUGAUCUUUCUCCUCAUUUACAGACUUUAUAAUGUUCAUCCAAUCACUCUAUCCUUUCUUCUUCUCAGUAGAUUGUUCGACCAGCUUUGCCGAGACGGGAGGCCUACUACUUCCCCAAAUCUCCUUGGCCUAAAACCCACCAUCAUAAAAUAUAUAAUGCAUAAACAAGCAGAAAGCAUAAUGACACAAAACAUGCAUGUCUAGGAACCUGAAACAUUGCAGCUGUCACAGUGUCAAGAGGUGUGUUGGUGGUGUAACUAUUUGAUUGCAGUCUGAUACGUUUAGCUUCAAUAUUCACCGGAGUCUUAAGACCAAAAAGCUAUAAUAGAAGAAUCUAGUUUCUGGAUAGAAAAGAAACAUAUAUAAGAGUCUCUCAUUCAUUCAAAUAGCAACACUAAAGAAGGUAGCUUAAUUUCUUACUUCGCAUCUCGUAAUGUAUAUAUCCUCAAAGUUCGGCUAGUACUUGGAUCAAGCAUACGAAGGCCAUCCAAACCAAUCUGCUACCACAAAACAGACACCCCAUUAACUAAAAAGCAACAGCCUUUACUCAAGAGCAGAACCGUCUACCUGACAAAGAACAUCAGUUGUGGUCUGUCCGUAGGUCUCCGCCAACAACUUGACACAAAACUUUUGGACACCUUCCUGCACAUCAGCCUUGGGGACAGCUCUGAUGAUCUUAGCAGAGAGGAGUCUCUACCUGAAGAAAGGCUAAUGGAUCUUCCAUAAUCAUCAAACAAAGUCGAAUUCGAUGACUUGGGCGCCUCCCGAGUAAGCAAAGACUCCAUCUCCGUAUGAAUCAUCGAAAGAAGGGGGGGUAACCUCCGCUCUCAGAUCGUUUUCCGAUCUGCUCCUCCCUUGUCGUAUGGCUUUUCAUACGAAGGAGGGAUGGAAGAUCCUCCGCCAGUGUAAGGAGGUGCGGAGUACAGAGAGGAUGAGUACUGCGGGGGGGUUAGGGUUAGGCGCGGGUGCAGAAGAAAGAGGUCUGAUGCUGAUCGAAGGGAGGAUAAUACACGUGGUGGAUACGCCCGUAGAAGAUUUUAGGGACAAGACUCAUUAAUCCAUAUUCAAUUGGGCCUUAAAUUAGAUUAAGCCCAAUAACAAGAGAAAGAUAGGAGUAGGAAGGGUAUUUCAGAUGACGUAGCAAUCUAGGACCGAGUUUACGCGGAGAUUGUGGGAAGAGACGAAAGUAGCCCUUAAGAAAAAGAUAUCUAACGAUUAGGGUUUUCAUUUUCGCAAUUAUUCCCUCUCCCCGCAAACGUAAGCAUAGGCUUAUACGGCGGAUCACGCGUCUUUAAAUAUAGACCUUACCCUCCCCAUUUUUUUCUCAUCCAAUUAUUCCUCUCUCUCUCUCUCUCUCAAAUUCAAAUCGAGAAAAACAAAAAAAAGGAUAGGGUUUUCGUCUCCGUCUCUCUGUUCGAUUUGGAUUCAGAUUCAUUUCGCUGUUUAAUCGAAUAGAUAUAACGAUGUCGCGAUAUUUCACAUCUCCACCGCCUGUGUAUGCAAGGAACUGGGCGAACGGUCAGAACCUGGUCGAAUCGACUAAGGUAGUUCGUCCAGCACUCAGUUCUGUGCGUUCCUUCGUCUGAACAUUAAAUAUCCUAAUUUCUUGAUGCAUAUAUGUUAAUUAUUGAUUAAAAAUGAUUAUGCCUUACUGUUUUAUUUGUUAGAAUAUUUGACUAUGGAUCUGUGAAAUUAAUCUUUCAUGAAUUGCAUAUUGUUUUUAUUAAUACAUAUCAAUGUCACAAUCGAACGAUAUCGUGUAAGCAUGUAUGUUGUUUGGUUUGGUCCGAAGCCAUAGUCAACCAUAGAGACGUGUUGUAGAUGUAUGAUUUGACUAUUAUUUUGUUAUUCUGAGUGAUGUGAUGUACCCCCCACUUAUAUGGUUGUUUCCCUAUGAUACUUCGCAAUUAGUCUAAAUCCUUUAUUCUAAAUGGAUUAUAAAGAUCAUCGAAAGACAAGUAGUACCUUCUAACAAGGUUCACCGCAAAGAGAAAGAGAAGGAGGAGAGGAAGAAAGAAAAGAAACAUAAGAAUGUGAAAUCCGUUGAACAGCUGUAUCUACCGACCAAGCAAGUGUGUGAUGAAUCUGAACAGCUUGAGAAGAGUUGUUUGACGGAAGAGCAUGAGCAACAUCACCAUGUUGGUUAUUUAUCUGAUGGUAGCCAGAACAGUAGGAAGAGAAGAAGGGAAGCUUCUCCCGCUGUUGAGAGUGACAUCAAAGGUUUGUUUCUGAAUUCUUUGUAAUAAUAUUGGUUUAAAUGUUUUCCCUUGUGUAAUAAAUGGUGUUUUGUUCAUUUGCAGCUACCCCUGUAGUUGGUAAGCCUCUACGGAUACGAUUUGUCUUCAAGAAACCUAAAGAAGCUGAGGCUGUUUUUCCUCGAGAGGAUCCUGUUUGCUCCACGUCAGGGACUGAUGGACACAUAGAAACAUCAACUUAUGUCUCAGCCCAUGAUGAGAAUCUGCUUUCAACUUCUCUUGCGAGUCGAAAGACUGCAAUUCCUUCCGAGUCAAAGAGUAAAAGGAAGCAUAAGAUUAGCAAAGAAUCUCGGUACAGUUCGUUGUUUGAUGAACCGGUUCUUCCCUGCAUUUCUAUGGAGGAAGAUGAUAACAGCAGUGAUGACUGGCUUCUUGGUGCGAGGCCGCAAAAGAAGGCUCCUGACAAGUCUUGUAUGAAUGAAGACAUGGUUAGCAACAUGCAGAAGUCUGGAGAUUCAUGUUUCCCUAGACCCCAGUAUUUGCCUGAAGUGGAGAUUUUUUCAUUGCCAUACACAGUCCUGUUUUAGGCCUGCCCCCAAAAUUGUUUUGUUCUUUCUCAGCUUUAGCCUUGGGCCUUAGCUUGUACAGUUCCACUGAUUGUAACAAACACAAGUAUCAAUAAUACUUUGACUGAUCUCUGACUCUAAUCUUGUACUAUUACUUGUGGCCUACGAAGUUAUAGUUUCGAUCUGACAGCACGAGAUGGUUCAUAUCAUAUCUCAACCAAAUCACUUGCAUAUACAAACAGCUUGAAAGCAUAAACAAAAAUAUUGCCAUAUUAAUUAGACUCGUAUGUCAAUACAGAAUGAUCCCAUAUAGCAAAGAGUAGUUAGUACACACUUUGAACUCAAAAGAUACAACAACACACAGCUUUGAUUUAAGCAACUAUACAAAAAGCUAACUCGAAAUGUCUCCCUUCAGUAUCGGAAUUGUCAUAUAUUAUAAUCACAAGAAGGCACAACGGUUCUUGUUCUUUUUCUUAGUCUUCUUCUGCUUUGGUGGCUGAAGAACCACUUUUAUGGCUGCAUCAAACACUGCCUUCACAUUCUGUAGAAUCCAACAAACUUCAGCCUCAUAGUACGCAAAUAAUAAGAAGCAGUACAAGCAAUAUUUUUAUAUCUACCUGCUGAGUCUUUGAACUACAUUCAAUGUAGACAGCAGAGCCAAUCAGUUUCUUCAGUUCCUCUCCCUGCAUUAACAACGAUAGAACCAUGUUUCAUCACAAAGUGAUCAUCAAUGGGGAGACUAAUAACAACCAUACACCCAUAUUACAAAAAAUCAACUACCUGGUUUGUAGUAAUAGGAACUGCACCUGGAUGAUCUAUGAAGAAUUGCUUGUCAUCUCGAAGAUCUGCAAAUCCCAAAAUAAUUCACAAUCUCACAUGGCCAUACAAAACUUUGUAAAAAGCUACGAAGAUGACCAAAGAUAGCAUGAUGAGAGUUCAAGAAGGAAAAAGUGUUGGAUACCAAGUUUUGUACCAACGAGGAUAAUGGGAACACCAGGAGCAUAAUGCCUGAGCUCCGGAAUCCACUGAGAGAGAUAACAAAAUCAAAUUAGACUUUUUAUACUCAUCAUAAGUUAUAUAGAAGAGUCAAAACCUUCUUGGCGAUAUUCUCGUAGCUAGCCUUGCUGAUGAGAGAGAAGGCAAGAAGGAAAACAUCAGCGCCACGGUAACUCAGAGGUCUUAACCUGUUGUAGUCUUCUUGACCUGUUUUCAAAAAACCAAGUCAAGACCGAAUGUUCCAAAACAGUGAAACCGGUUUCAAGAAGAAAGAUUUGUUACUAACCGGCUGUGUCCCACAAGCCAAGAUUGACAGUGUUGCCAUCUACAACCACAUUAGCACUGAAGUUGUCGAAAACGGUUGGAACAUAGUCCUGAGAGAUUCACCAGUUCAUAGAUUUUAUGUUAGAUCGUCCUCACGAGGUUCCAUGUUCAAUGAUUUGGCAAUAAAUAAAUUAGAAAAACAAAGAUAUAAGUUGAAAUUACAGUUGGGAAAGUGUUGCUGGUGUAAGAAAUGAGCAUGCAGGUUUUUCCGACAGCACCAUCUCCGACCGUAACACACUUUAUGAACCUUGACGCGCUCAUCUCCGUCGGAUCGUAAGAAUUCCGUUUUUCGUGCUUAUUCCUCAAAUCAUUCCUAGUAACCAAAGCCUAUAUGUAUCGCACUCCAACUAGAAUCGAAGUCGUAAGCUUGUGAAUUUGAGAAGCCACCAAAAAAAAAAAAUAGCAGAGAAGGAAGGAUGGAAGAUGCUUAAUGUGGCGGUUGAUUCAUGACUUUGAGAUGAUUCUUCUUCAAUACAACUAUGUUUUUUUUUUUUUUUGAAAAAGGGCAUCAAUACAACUAUGUUACAGCUCCCACCUCCCCUAUAAUACUUUUUAUUUAUUUAUUCAACACGUAUUUUUUAUUAUCAAAUUUUGAAAAUCUCUUUUUCUUCCUUUCUUUAUUUUCGCGGAUUUGAAUUCUGAAUGAGAGGAAGGAUCUAUCUGUUGGUUUUAUGAAAACAAGAAAAAUGCAAAUGUCACAAAUGUGUUUAUAUUAAAUACAUUUACUACAGUCUACAGAGUUCAUAAUAUUGCAAAAAAAAAAAAAAAAUCAAAUAAUAUAAAAUUACGUACGAGAGACUUUAUGGUUUAGUUCUAUAAGUUUAUAACUAUAGUAUAGCAAAAUAUGGAGAGGCACAUCGGAUUUGGCAAAUAUCAUCAUCAUCAAGAACGUGCCACAUAGUGUUACGGCACGAUUCCGAAAUAUCAAAUUUCUUUCUUUCUUCUCUUGAUUUUCCUCAUCAGUUACCUACGGAUUAGGAAACAUAGGCGACGAAAGUCCAAAGGGACGUGCCCAAUUCUAAGUAAACCAAACAAAAAACGAUCCACCACGUCACUGAGUGUCCCAUCACAGAAUCAUAAUCACACCAGUUGGUAGCUUCGUUGUUAAAUUUCAUGAAUCAUAGUUAGUAGUAUGUCUAUUGACUUUUAACUAUGAUCAAUCCAUUCACAUUGUGUUACAAAAAGUCUAUAUUUGCUAACAAAGAAAGAGUCUUGAAUAUUUGGAAAAUGUAAUUUGUAUUUCCAAACAUUCGUAUAAUAAUAAUAUUUGUUUGUUUAAACCACUCAUUCUUUGAAACUGAUUGUAUGCAUGCAUGUGCGGAGAUAGAAUGAAUUUUGCAACUCAGAGAUUAUAGGAAGUGAUUGUGGAAUUAAACAAAGAGAAUAAACGAGAAAGUGGGAAAGAUAUGAAGUUCACCAAAUCAUUAUAUCUGAGAAGUUAAGAUUACUACACAUGCCUACCAUUCCUACCGACUAUUCACCAACCAGUAAUUAACCAUCCCACUUUUCUUUAUUAACUAACUCAAACUCAACUAUUAUAUUUGAAAAUAUUAUCAUUGAAUUAAUAACCAUAAUGAUGGAAAUCAUAAACGAAAAAAAAUCUACGACACUAAUAUCAUUUCCAACCCAAUACUAAAAUUCUAUUUUAGUGUGAUUUUGACACCAAAACUUUUUCCAGAUUUUUGGAUCCCUACAAUACCAGCUAGGUUGGUUCGUUCCUUAGCUCCAGUUUUGCAUCUGAACAUGAGAGUCAAUAACCUUAUUAAUCAUGAAUGAGAUGUUGGGUUAGUGGAAGACUAUGUUUCCCCUGAAGAUAUACCUUUCAUAAAGAGUUUGGCCAUAAGCUCAGCUCAUCGCCGCGACACAUUCUAUUGGAACUACACUAAGAAUGGCUAGUACACGGUUUAAUCAGGAUAUUGGGUAGCUCGUAAUUUUUUGAAGGCUGGGGAUGAGAAAGAAGUACUGGAGCCCAGUAUAACAAAGCUUCAAGCCUUUACUUGGACGAUAAAAGCCCCACGGAAGAUAUGUCAUUUUAUAUGGCAAUUGAUAAUAGGUCAUGUGGCAGUAACAAAUAACCUGAUAACGCGUAACAUGAGAUGCGAUAACUAUUGCCCACGAUGUGGAGAACCAGAAGAAUUUGUUACUCAUGCAAUUUUUGAAUGCCCAUCAGCUCUACAAGUUUGGGCCUUAUCAGUGACGCCAACGAGCCCAAAUAUCUUCCAUGUCCCGAGUAUCUAUGCUAAUAUGGAUUAUCUCUUCUGGAGAAAUAACAACAUUGUCGAGCCAUAUUUAGACAGAGAUCUUUAUCCCUAGAUAAUCUGGUAGUCAAAAAUGAUAAACUUUUUAGGGGAAUAGACAGAGAUCCUUUGGAGCUAGUUCGCUAUGCAGAAAGUGAGUGUCAAGCCUGGUUCAAUGCAAACGAGAUGGUGCCAUCAACUCAACAAGACCAUAGUAUUGACGAAGCUCAAGUCUUAAGCUUGGGUAAUAUUUGUAUGAUAGACGAGCCAUGGACAUCUACAACACAGUUCAGCGGGUGUGGAUGAGUUUGGAUGGACAACUUGGAGAAGGUUCAACUUAUGGAGACACAGAAUUAUAUUCGACGAGAGUCUGCCCUGCAUUCAGAAGUGGAAGCACUGAGAUGGGCGAUGGAGAGUAUGCUUCAGUAUCCGACAUGUCAAAGCUUCGAAACGGACUGAAAGGAUUUGAUCACCAUGAUUAAGGAGCCCCAUGCUUGACCAAGUUUUGCGACAGAAUUUGAGAGGAUAGAGAAUCUGCAGAUAUGCUUCCCUGGCUUCAAUAUUACUCAUAUUCCACGAGCGCAAAAUCAGCUUUCAGACUCUUUAGCUAGGAUUGUAAAAUCUUUCCAAAGAGAGCUUUAUUUAUUGGUUGUUCUAUUUCCGUCUCGUUACCCAGACACCUCAAGUUUGAGUAAUAGAAUAAUCUUUCGUUGUCAAAAAAAGACACCAAAACCUUCUCUAACCAAAUACUAAAAAUUACACUAUUUUAGUGCAAUACUAUAAUUUCACACCAAAUUUGGUGUGACAAUAUUCACUACGCUAAAAUACUAUUCACUUAUUUUAUUAAUAUAAUAGAAAAUUAAAUAAAUGACAAAUAUAAAAUAUUUAUAAAAUAGUUUUAGUGUAAAGUUUGGUGUUGUGGUUGUAGAAUAAAAAAAAAUUAGUGUUAAAAUUACACUAAAAUAGUGUAAUUUUGACACUAAAAUAGUGUUAUGGGUCGAAGAUGCCCUAGACGUAAUCGGUGUCUCCAUUUUCCAAGAAGCUGCAGGCUAAAUCAGAAUGCUUAUUGGGUCUGUUAAUUAAUAUAAAAAAAUAAAGUUGUCCCCAGCAAUUUCCAUGAGGUCCAUUACGCUUAAAAUUAAGUCAUAGGUUAACAAAUCUAGAGAUGUUACGUACAGAGCAAGGAACUCGAAACCAAAAAAGUGUUCUGUCAUCAGCCAGCCCUCGGAGAACGAAACACAAACCUUUGGUAUCAAGAAGAAGUUCUCCACUGAAGCUCAAUUUGAAUCCGACCAUUCUUGGAAUCAAUCAGAUGAUACUUAUCGUUGAUUCUCCUAUUACUCACAACAUCACCAAGAUUUAUCACCACAUAUCCAAGAGUUUCCUGAUAUAGAGAAAAAGAAAACACUCAGUCAAGUUCUUGUUCUUGCUGGAACAUCUUCAGAUCGAUUAUAAAGAUCUUGUAUUAUACCUUAGGAUGCAUAUUUAAACCUAUUCGUGAAGUAGUACUGAUGACUUCAACGUGUAGCUUAUCGUUUAUGGGAGGCUCAUCUAAUGGAAAUUGAAAAUCUUCAUCCCAUCGUGGCUCUCUGUUUUUCUUCACACGCUGCAUAUCAAACCAAAUAUAUAUCAAAAACCUAGGGUCGGAUUUGAGAAUUAAAGGGCCAAAAACAUUUUUAGAUUCAUCUUAAUAUUUUUUUUUUACAAUUUGGGUACCAUGUCAAUCUGUAUAUAAGCUUUUAAAAAUUUUGGGGCCAAAACGAAUGUUUCAUCCUAAUGUGCCUAGAACGAGCCAUGCAAAAUCCGUAAAAUUAAUGUUCUUUGCAGUUUUUGAUUUUGAGUUUAAAAGUUUCUUUUGGUACCUUUGUUUUACGCUCUUCUCCUUUGAACAUCAAACGAACAGAAGGGUUUGUGUGAUAUUUUCCUUCUAAAUCUUCAGCUUCAUGAACAAUAACCACAAGUAACCCACCACCAG
This 42039-nucleotide long non-coding RNA is filed under the name Brassica napus (rape). RNAcentral describes it as "long non-coding RNA (BNAP_LNC020079)". Lineage: Eukaryota; Viridiplantae; Streptophyta; Magnoliopsida; Brassicales; Brassicaceae. The record is from RNAcentral.